This 333-nucleotide unclassified non-coding RNA is filed under the name fungal sp. RNAcentral's name for it is "partial internal transcribed spacer region". The stretch from base 1 to 46 matches the Rfam family "Eukaryotic small subunit ribosomal RNA", at positions 1786 to 1831 of the family's 1831-position model. The record is from RNAcentral. Lineage: Eukaryota; Fungi.
AAGUCGUAACAAGGUAACCGUAGGUGAACCUGCGGUUGGAUCAUUACUGAAAGGCGAUCGUUCGUUCCUACGUUCGUUCCCACCCUUUGUGAACCGUAGUUGUCCCUGGCGGCGGGGUGCGAGUGGACUCGGGCGCCGAGAGGUACCCUCUCGGCGUGUGGCGUCCCCGGACCCGUCAGCUUGUUGGGUCGUCGUCCCUCUUUGGGCGUGGCCCACUUGCCGUGGACAAACCGCCAAAUGUGUCCUCAACCUGCCAUCUCAACUUUGCCGUCUCAUUGUACACUUGGUAUCACAAUACCUAAACAACUUUUGGCAACGGAUCUCUUGGCUCUC